Molecule: ribosomal RNA, 468 nt
Filed under: uncultured bacterium
Lineage: Bacteria
Description: partial 16S ribosomal RNA
Rfam family: Bacterial small subunit ribosomal RNA
Source: RNAcentral
GACGAACGCUGGCGGCGUGCUUAACACAUGCAAGUCGAACGGAAAGGCCCUGCUUUUGUGGGGUGCUCGAGUGGCGAACGGGUGAGUAACACGUGAGUAACCUGCCCUUGACUUUGGGAUAACUUCAGGAAACUGGGGCUAAUACCGGAUAGGAGCUCCUGCUGCAUGGUGGGGGUUGGAAAGUUUCGGCGGUUGGGGAUGGACUCGCGGCUUAUCAGCUUGUUGGUGGGGUAGUGGCUUACCAAGGCUUUGACGGGUAGCCGGCCUGAGAGGGUGACCGGCCACAUUGGGACUGAGAUACGGCCCAGACUCCUACGGGAGGCAGCAGUGGGGAAUAUUGCACAAUGGGCGGACGCCUGAUGCAGCAACGCCGCGUGCGUGAUGACGGCCUUCGGGUUGUAAACCGCUUUCGCCUGUGACGAAGCGUGAGUGACGGUAAUGGGUAAAGAAGCACCGGCUAACUACGUG